Molecule: long non-coding RNA, 264 nt
Filed under: Elaeis guineensis (African oil palm)
Lineage: Eukaryota; Viridiplantae; Streptophyta; Magnoliopsida; Arecales; Arecaceae
Description: long non-coding RNA (EGUI_LNC080561)
Source: RNAcentral
AAAGUUGGUCAUAGUCGAGGCUGUUGAGUUACGAGUGUUUUGAAUCGAAUCGGAUUUAUUAUUAUAUUAUAUGUGAAUAUUUGAAAAUAUUGGAUUUGCAUUAAAUCAGCAUGAAAUAUAUUUUUAUGUUUAUUUGCAACAUUGUUCUUGAAAAUUUAUAUAAUAUCUGAAAUAUCUAGUUGAGAUAUUUGUUACUUACUGGGCUGUCUAGCUCAUUACCUUUCUUUCUAUUUUUCAGAUUCAGAUAAUUAAUUUCGAGCGUGG